CCUUUUAUUUCGGGAAAGAAGGUGGGGCAACCCCCUUGACGGUACCGCAGGAAGAAGGACCGGCUAACUACGUGCCAGCAGCCGCGGUAAUACGUAGGGUCCGAGCGUUGUCCGGAGUUACUGGGCGUAAAGCGCGCGUAGGCGGCGGUGCUGGCCCGGCGUGAAAGCCCCCGGCUCAACCGGGGAGGGUCGUCGGGGACCGCACCGCUUGAGGGCGGUAGGGGCUGGUGGAAUGCCUGGUGUAGUGGUGAAAUGCGUAGAGAUCAGGCGGAACACCCGUGGCGAAGGCGGCCAGCUGGGCCGUACCCUGACGCUGAGGCGCGAAGGCGUGGGGAGCGAACGGGAUUAGAUACCCCGGUAGUCCACGCAGUAAACGAUGCCGACUAGGCGUGGGGGGAGUUGAGCCCCUCCGUGCCGGAGCCAACGCGGGAA
This 432-nucleotide ribosomal RNA is filed under the name Thermomicrobium roseum. RNAcentral's name for it is "bacterial SSU rRNA". It matches the Rfam family "Bacterial small subunit ribosomal RNA", at positions 431 to 863 of the family's 1533-position model. The record is from RNAcentral. Lineage: Bacteria; Pseudomonadati; Thermomicrobiota; Thermomicrobia; Thermomicrobiales; Thermomicrobiaceae.